This 568-nucleotide ribosomal RNA is filed under the name uncultured eukaryote. RNAcentral's name for it is "bacterial SSU rRNA". It matches the Rfam family "Eukaryotic small subunit ribosomal RNA", at positions 618 to 1191 of the family's 1831-position model. The record is from RNAcentral.
GUUAAAAAGCUCGUAGUUGGAUUUCUGCUGAGGACGACCGGUCCGCCCUCUGGGUGAGUAUCUGGCUCGGCCUUGGCAUCUUCUUGGAGAACGUAACUGCACUUGACUGUGUGGUGCGGUAUUCAGGACUUUUACUUUGAGGAAAUUAGAGUGUUUCAAGCAGGCACAUGCCUUGAAUACAUUAGCAUGGAAUAAUGAGAUAGGACCUUGGUUCUAUUUUGUUGGUUUCUAGAGCUGAGGUAAUGAUUAAUAGGGAUAGUUGGGGGCAUUCGUAUUUAACUGUCAGAGGUGAAAUUCUUGGAUUUAUGAAAGACGAACUUCUGCGAAAGCAUUUGCCAAGGAUGUUUUCAUUAAUCAAGAACGAAAGUUGGAGGCUCGAAGACGAUCAGAUACCGUCCUAGUUCCAACCAUAAACGAUGCCGUCUGCGGAUCGGAGGUCGCUCAUGUAAGGCUCCUUCGGCACGCUAUGAGAAAUCAAAGACUUCGGGUUCCGGGGGGAGUAUGUUCGCAAGAAUGAAACUUAAAGGAAUUGACGGAAGGGCACCACCAGGAGUGGAACCUGCGGUUU